RNAcentral lists this ribosomal RNA (254 nucleotides) under uncultured bacterium. RNAcentral's name for it is "partial 16S ribosomal RNA". It matches the Rfam family "Bacterial small subunit ribosomal RNA", at positions 524 to 776 of the family's 1533-position model. The record is from RNAcentral.
UACGUAGGGACCGAGCGUUGUCCGGAUUUAUUGGGCGUAAAGAGCUCGUAGGUGGUUUGGUAAGUCGGAUGUGAAAUCUCCAGGCUCAACCUGGAGGGGUCAUUCGAUACUGCCAUGACUAGAGGUCGGUAGGGGAGUGUGGAAUUCCUGGUGGAGCGGUGAAAUGCGCAGAUAUCAGGAGGAACACCCGUAGCGAAGGCGGCACUCUGGGCCGAUUCUGACACUGAGGAGCGAAAGCGUGGGGAGCGAACAGG